This 63-nucleotide transfer RNA is filed under the name Clostridioides difficile. Its description in RNAcentral is "tRNA-His". It matches the Rfam family "tRNA", at positions 6 to 65 of the family's 71-position model. From Rfam's summary of the family: Transfer RNA (tRNA) molecules are approximately 80 nucleotides in length. The record is from RNAcentral. Lineage: Bacteria; Bacillati; Bacillota; Clostridia; Peptostreptococcales; Peptostreptococcaceae.
UAUAGCUCAGUUGGUUAGAGCGCCAGAUUGUGGCUCUGGAGGUCGUGAGUUCGACUCUCAUUA